Long non-coding RNA from Cyprinus carpio (common carp), 777 nucleotides. The record is from Ensembl. Lineage: Eukaryota; Metazoa; Chordata; Actinopteri; Cypriniformes; Cyprinidae.
AUGACAUCAGAGCCAGGCGGACCGCAGUCGGACACAUUUCUAACCGGCAUGCAUCUCGCGGUGAUCAUCGGUGAUCGGUUCUGCGCAGAUUUUGCUCAUCUCAAACAAGCCUAUUUUUUCAACAGGAAGUUGAAUUAUCCAGAUCUUCUGAAGGCAGUGGGGAGACCAAAGAGUGCUAAUCCACCACUAAGUGCUGCAGAGAAGCAGCGAAAGAUACAGGAAGGACCUACUGCAGAAGUCUUAUUAGAAAGGGUCAGUAUGUUUUUAUGAAUUGACUGUAAUUCUAGCUUAAACACUGUUAGAUGUACUUUCUGUAAUUGAACAUUUUUUGUUUGACCUCAGGAUCCAGAAGCACCCUCCAUGGCAUGCUGACGGACAGGACAUAGUUCCACCACAUUCUCAAUCUCUGUUUUCCUUGUUUCUCUCCUCUUUCCAUCUCGAAUGUGAUGAACUACAUGGACAUAACACAUUCCUUCAGACAUCUUUCUCUCACACACAGGCUAUGUACACACAUGCACACACACACAAACGCACACAGAGUGUCUGGAUGUUCAUUCCUGUGUCUAGGUGUUCAUUCCUGUUACGCACUGUUCAUUCCUGUUAUUAAAUUGUUUUGUUCUAAAAAAUUAAGUUAAACGACUGUUUUUUUUUUUCAUCUGUGUUAUGUUAAUCAUUUAUCCAAUAGUUUACUUAAUAACAUGACUUUAAAAAUUAUAAUCCUUUAGUUUGGGUCUCCUGUAAAAUAAAAAAUGGCUUUGCUUUUUUUUUUUAAUUACA